This is a non-coding RNA of Drosophila melanogaster (fruit fly), 1098 nucleotides long. The record is from Ensembl. Lineage: Eukaryota; Metazoa; Arthropoda; Insecta; Diptera; Drosophilidae.
ACUGAAAAACUAGAUAGUUAGUAUUUGUUGAUUUGAUAAAGCAUACUCAAAUGGUUUUUAUUGAUCCCAAAAAGCAUACAUUUUCUUGCGGUGUGGGGCCAGGAAAAACAGAUCACGGGCGGACGGACAUGGACAUUCAUUUCGCUUAAGCGCACUAACCGGGUAAACUGGUCGGUGUCUUUGAUCCUGGCAUUCUAUUGUUCCGUUUCAAAGGCCACUAUUAUGUAAACAAUCGGCGGCUUUGAUCUUGGCCGCAUCAAAGUUGUGCCGCCGCGUUUCAUCUUCUGCCGCAUGCAGCAAAUAGCAAGCAGCAAGCAACAAGCAGCAGCGCCAGCUGAUGCGAUGCCCCAGCGGAAGAUGAUGACGGUGAUGAUGAUGAUGAUGAUGAUGAUGAUGAUGAGGAUGAUGACGAUGACGAUGACGAGAAAGAGGACGGCGAGGAAGCGACAGGCACUGCGUAGUUAAAGCUGCUACAUCGCUACCAACGCUGCUGAGCUAUAUAAUUUCGCAUAGGCCGAUCCGAUCACCUGGAGAACGGAGCACCUGGAAUACAGAGCCUCUACCGCAACCUCAUAACUUUGGGCAUAAUCUUCAAAGCGCCGACCGACCGAUCGCUUGACAUCAAUCGAGUCGGCCAUUCGGCCGCUCUAAUCCCAACAGAUGGGCUCCCGGAUCGCCGGUCGCCGAUAAGCAAUUAAAAUUUCAUUUAAUGCACAACUUUAUUAUCGGUUCGGCCCAGUCACGGUCACGUCCUUUGAUCCUUUUGCCCGAUUUCAGGAUCCGCUGCACAACUGUUCUCCGGUGUUUUUUCAUCUUUAUUUUGCGAAAAACCAAAGCGUCCGCUCGCUGUGGGAAACGCAACAGGUGCGCCGAGGCUCCAGCAUCCAGAAUCCAGCAUCCAAUCUCCAGUCGGCAGCAGCAUUUCUCAUCCAUCAGCCGGCGGAGCGAGCAUCUUUAAUUUCUUCCAGCCGGGGUUCAUAAUUGCAUUGCUCUCGAUUGACGGAGGUCAGUGAUGUUGCAUGGUCACCAGGUGCUUUAUGGAAAUUUUAAAGGAUUUUACUGAAAAUUUAUUUAAAUAAAGAAAAACCACUAAAACAU